UACGGAGGAUCCAAGCGUUAUCCGGAUUCAUUGGGUUUAAAGGGUCCGCAGGCGGAUCAAUAAGUCAGGGGUGAAAUCCUACGGCUCAACCGUAGAACUGCCCUUGAUACUGUUGGUCUAGAGUACAGUUGAGGUGGGCGGAAUGUGUCAUGUAGCGGUGAAAUGCAUAGAUAUGACACAGAACACCGAUCGCGAAGGCAGCUCACCAAGCUGUAACUGACGCUAAGGGACGAAAGCGUGGGGAUCAAACAGG
This 253-nucleotide ribosomal RNA is filed under the name uncultured bacterium. Its description in RNAcentral is "partial 16S ribosomal RNA". It matches the Rfam family "Bacterial small subunit ribosomal RNA", at positions 524 to 776 of the family's 1533-position model. The record is from RNAcentral.